This 253-nucleotide ribosomal RNA is filed under the name uncultured bacterium. RNAcentral describes it as "partial 16S ribosomal RNA". It matches the Rfam family "Bacterial small subunit ribosomal RNA", at positions 524 to 776 of the family's 1533-position model. The record is from RNAcentral.
UACGAAGGGGGCUAGCGUUGCUCGGAAUCACUGGGCGUAAAGGGUGCGUAGGCGGGUCUUUAAGUCAGGGGUGAAAUCCUGGAGCUCAACUCCAGAACUGCCUUUGAUACUGAAGAUCUUGAGUUCGGGAGAGGUGAGUGGAACUGCGAGUGUAGAGGUGAAAUUCGUAGAUAUUCGCAAGAACACCUAUAGCGAAGGCAGCUUACUAGGCUGUAACUGACGCUGAGGCACGAAAGUGUGGGGAUCAAACAGG